RNAcentral lists this ribosomal RNA (478 nucleotides) under uncultured bacterium. RNAcentral describes it as "partial 16S ribosomal RNA". It matches the Rfam family "Bacterial small subunit ribosomal RNA", at positions 28 to 523 of the family's 1533-position model. The record is from RNAcentral.
GACGAACGCUGGCGGCGUGCUUAACACAUGCAAGUCGAACGGUAAGGCCCUUCGGGGUACACGAGUGGCGAACGGGUGAGUAACACGUGGGUGAUCUGCCCUGCACUUCGGGAUAAGCCUGGGAAACUGGGUCUAAUACCGGAUAGGACCACUGCCUGCAUGGGUGGUGGUGGAAAGAUUUUGCGGUGUGGGAUGGGCCCGCGGCCUAUCAGCUUGUUGGUGGGGUGAUGGCCUACCAAGGCGACGACGGGUAGCCGGCCUGAGAGGGGGACCGGCCACACUGGGACUGAGUUACGGCCCAGACUCCUGCGGGGGGCAGCAGUGGGGAAUAUUGCACAAUGGGCGCAAGCCUGAUGCAGCGACGCCGCGUGAGGGAUGACGGCCUUCGGGUUGUAAACCUCUUUCAGCACCGACGAAGCGCAAGUGACGGUAGGUGCAGAAGAAGGACCGGCCAACUACGUGCCAGCAGCCGCCGUAA